UACGAGGGGGGCAAGCGUUGUUCGGAAUUAUUGGGCGUAAAGGGCGCGUAGGCGGCGCCACAAGUCACUUGUGAAAACUCUGGGCUCAACUCAGAGCCUGCAAGCGAAACUGUGGUGCUGGAGUAUGGGAGAGGUGCGUGGAAUUCCCGGUGUAGCGGUGAAAUGCGUAGAUAUCUGGAGGAACACCGGUGGCGAAGGCGGCAUCCUGGACCGACACUGACGCUGAGGAGCGAAAGCCAGGGGAGCAAACGGG
RNAcentral lists this ribosomal RNA (253 nucleotides) under uncultured bacterium. RNAcentral describes it as "partial 16S ribosomal RNA". It matches the Rfam family "Bacterial small subunit ribosomal RNA", at positions 524 to 776 of the family's 1533-position model. The record is from RNAcentral.